GCUGGGGUGGUGAAAUGGCAGACACGGAGGGCUUAAGACCCUCUGAGGGUAAAACCUCGUGCGAGUUCGACUCUCGCCCCCAGCACCA
RNAcentral lists this transfer RNA (88 nucleotides) under Candidatus Saccharimonadota bacterium. RNAcentral's name for it is "tRNA-Leu". It matches the Rfam family "tRNA". Rfam says of the family: Transfer RNA (tRNA) molecules are approximately 80 nucleotides in length. Their secondary structure includes four short double-helical elements and three loops (D, anti-codon, and T loops). Lineage: Bacteria; Candidatus Saccharimonadota. The record is from RNAcentral.